This 465-nucleotide ribosomal RNA is filed under the name uncultured bacterium. Its description in RNAcentral is "partial 16S ribosomal RNA". It matches the Rfam family "Bacterial small subunit ribosomal RNA", at positions 338 to 795 of the family's 1533-position model. The record is from RNAcentral.
CCUACGGGAGGCAGCAGUAGGGAAUCUUCCACAAUGGGCGAAAGCCUGAUGGAGCAACGCCGCGUGGGUGAAGAAGGUCUUCGGAUCGUAAAACCCUGUUGUUAGAGAAGAACGUGCGUGAGAGGAACUGUUCACGUUUCGACGGUACCUAACCAGAAAGCGACGGCUAACUACGUGCCAGCAGCCGCGGUAAUACGUAGGUGGCAAGCGUUAUCCGGAUUUAUUGGGCGUAAAGGGGUCGCAGGCGGUUUUUUAAGUUUGGUGUGAAAGCCUUCGGCUUAACCGGAGUAGUGCAUUGGAUACUAGGAGACUAGAGUGAGGAAGAGGAGAGUGGAACUCCAUGUGAAGCGGUGAAAUGCGUAGAUAUAUGGAAGAACACCAGAGGCGAAGGCGGCUCUCUGGUUUGUAACUGACGCUGAGGUUCGAAAGCGUGGGUAGCAAACAGGAUUAGAUACCCGAGUAGUC